UACGGGGGGGGCAAGCGUUGUUCGGAAUUACUGGGCGUAAAGGGUGCGUAGGCGGCUCUCUAAGUCAGACGUGAAAUCCCCAGGCUCAACCUGGGAACUGCGUCUGAUACUGGAUGGCUUGAAUCCGGGAGAGGGAUGCAGAAUUCCAGGUGUAGCGGUGAAAUGCGUAGAUAUCUGGAGGAAUACCGGUGGCGAAGGCGGCAUCCUGGACCAACACUGACGCUGAGGAGCGAAAGCCAGGGGAGCAAACGGG
This 253-nucleotide ribosomal RNA is filed under the name uncultured bacterium. RNAcentral's name for it is "partial 16S ribosomal RNA". It matches the Rfam family "Bacterial small subunit ribosomal RNA", at positions 524 to 776 of the family's 1533-position model. The record is from RNAcentral.